This 48-nucleotide transfer RNA is filed under the name Myleus rhomboidalis (rhomboid pacu). RNAcentral describes it as "partial tRNA-Phe". Lineage: Eukaryota; Metazoa; Chordata; Actinopteri; Characiformes; Serrasalmidae. The record is from RNAcentral.
GCUAGUGUAGCUUAACCCCUAAAGCAUAACACUGAAGAUGUUAAGAUG